GACGAACGCUGGCGGCGCGCCUAACACAUGCAAGUCGAACGGAGCGUACCGAGCGGAAGCCUUCGGGUGGAAGCAUGGUAUUGCUUAGUGGCGAACGGGUGAGUAACACGUGAGUAACCUACCUCCGAGCGGGGGACAACAUUUGGAAACAGAUGCUAAUACCGCAUAAGACCACAGAGCCGCAUGGCUCAGGGGCCAAAGUAUUUAUACACUUGGAGAUGGACUCGCGCCUGAUUAGCUAGAUGGUGAGGUAACGGCUCACCAUGGCAACGAUCAGUAGCCGGACUGAGAGGUUGAACGGCCACAUUGGGACUGAGACACGGCCCAGACUCCUACGGGAGGCAGCAGUGAGGAAUAUUGCACAAUGGGGGAAACCCUGAUGCAGCGACGCCGCGUGAGGGAAGAAGGUUUUCGGAUUGUAAACCUCUGUCUUCGGGGACGAUAAUGACGGUACCCGAGGAGGAAGCCACGGCUAACUACGUGCCAGCAGCCGCAGUAACAC
Molecule: ribosomal RNA, 502 nt
Filed under: uncultured bacterium
Lineage: Bacteria
Description: bacterial SSU rRNA
Rfam family: Bacterial small subunit ribosomal RNA
Source: RNAcentral